AUUGAACGCUGGCGGCAGGCCUAACACAUGCAAGUCGAGCGGAUGAAGGGAGCUUGCUCCUGGAUUCAGCGGCGGACGGGUGAGUAAUGCUUAGGAAUCUGCCAGGUAGUGGGGGAUAACGUCCGGAAACGGGCGCUAAUACCGCAUACGUCCUGCGGGAGAAAGUGGGGGAUGUUCGGACCUCACGCUCUCAGAUGAGCCUAGGUCGGAUUAGCUAGUUGGUGGGGUAAAGGCCUACCAAGGCGACGAUCCGUAACUGGUCUGAGAGGAUGAUCAGUCACACUGGAACUGAGACACGGUCCAGACUCCUACGGGAGGCAGCAGUGGGGAAUAUUGGACAAUGGGCGAAAGCCUGAUCCAGCCAUGCCGCGUGUGUGAAGAAGGUCUUCGGAUUGUAAAGCACUUUAAGUUGGGAGGAAGGGCAGUAAGUUAAUACCUUGCUGUUUUGACGUUACCAACAGAAUAAGCACCGGCUAACUUCGUG
Molecule: ribosomal RNA, 484 nt
Filed under: uncultured bacterium
Lineage: Bacteria
Description: partial 16S ribosomal RNA
Rfam family: Bacterial small subunit ribosomal RNA
Source: RNAcentral